AUGGCUCGCAAGAAGGUGGCCCUCCAGUACAUCCGCAAUGACUCGACGCGGCUCAAUACCUUGAAGAAGCAUACCAAGAACAUGAUGAAGAAGGGCAGUGAGGUGGCCACCUUGUGCAACGCCAAGGCCUGCGUGCUGGUGUAUGGUGAGGGCACAACGGUGCCAGAGGUGUUCCCAUCUCAUGCCAAGGCAGUGGCUAUCCUGAAUCGGUUCAAGAGCAUACCAGAGGUGCCACAGCUAAAGAAGACGAUGGACCAGGAGACCAUUCUUAGCAAGCGCCUCGUACAGCUCCGACAUCAGGUAGAGAAGAUUAGGCGCGAGCGCGAGGACCGUGAGGCCAGGAUUCUCUUGCACAAGGCCAUGGUCAGCGGACACCUCCCAGGAAACAUCGAGGAGCUCACAACCAUGGCCUGGAAGUUGGAGUUAAUCCUCAAGAGUGUGGGGGAGCGCAUCACAGAAAGAAGUGGGCUGCCACCGGUCUACCAAGCCCAUGCACCAUAUGUCACUGGCGGCAUGGACAUGGGGUCUUCGAUGUAUAAGGCGUUGCAGCAGCAGCACGAGGGAUAG
Molecule: ribosomal RNA, 567 nt
Filed under: Triticum aestivum (bread wheat)
Lineage: Eukaryota; Viridiplantae; Streptophyta; Magnoliopsida; Poales; Poaceae
Description: partial small subunit ribosomal RNA
Source: RNAcentral